GGUUAAGUCAGGCAACGAGCGAGACCCGUGCUUUUAGUUGCCAGCAAGAAGUCACGACUUCGUUGGGAACACUAAAAGGACCGCCAUCGAUAAGAUGGAGGAAGGAGCGGGCCAAGGCAGGUCAGUAUGCCCCGAAACCCCUGGGCCACACGCGGGCUGCAAUGGUAUGAACAAUGGGCUGUAACUCCGAAAGGAGAAACCAAUCCCGAAAUCAUAUCUCAGUUGGGAUUGUUGGCUGUAACUCGCUGACAUGAACGUGGAAUCCCUAGUAAUCGUGUGUCAUCAUCGCACGGUGAAUACGUCCCUGCUCCUUGCACAAA
This 320-nucleotide ribosomal RNA is filed under the name uncultured archaeon. RNAcentral's name for it is "bacterial SSU rRNA". It matches the Rfam family "Archaeal small subunit ribosomal RNA", at positions 1027 to 1345 of the family's 1478-position model. The record is from RNAcentral.